Molecule: long non-coding RNA, 6848 nt
Organism: Gadus chalcogrammus (walleye pollock)
Lineage: Eukaryota; Metazoa; Chordata; Actinopteri; Gadiformes; Gadidae
Exons: 20
Source: RefSeq, a predicted model, not a curated record
UUAAUGCAGGAUUAGUUUGUCCAGUAGAAGUUAAGGCGUACUAGUACUGUGGUUGGUUACCAGACAAACUACAGCUGCUACUUUGUAACGCGCCAUUAGAUCCCAACUACUCCUGUGUUUGUGACCUUACAUUAGAGACCAACUACUACUGUGUUUGUGACCUUACAAUAGAGACAAAUUACGUUUGUAACCAGACCAGGAAUCUGGAGGACUGACGGAGAAGCUGUACAUCUGGAAGGCAAAUCCUGAGGACGAUCAGGACUCUACCAUCAAGGAUUCCUCACACACAUGAGCUGAACCUCACCUGAUCCUGUUUGGUCGGGGGCAGACGCACCUGAGCUGAACCCCACCUGAUCCGGACAUCCUGCUGGUCCCGUCUCCUCAGUUCAUCUGAGCCUCUUCCUCCAGAAGACAUGCUGAGCUCGGCGGUCUGAGGCUGAUGUAUCAAUGACCUCCAGUGGGAGUGAUCUUCUUGACCCCACAUGUAGCCGUGUGCUUCCACACGCCUUUCCCUCACGUCUGUCACUAACCUCAUUACUUCACUACUCUCUACUCCUUCUCCUUCUUCUUCCUUCUCCGUGGUUCGAACCUUUACUCUGAAGGAGAAUCUCCUUGAACCUUUACACUGAAGGAGCGUCUUCCUGUCCUCAGAGGGUUCAGCGUUAGGGUUGAGAGUCAGGGUUUAGAGUCAGGGACAGAGCUGGUCAGGGAGGGCUGGUUUUACAUAAACCUUUUCACUUGCUUUCUGAAUGGUGGUGACAUUUUGAAAAGAUUAAUUUGGGAAAAUGUUUUCCUCUUUUUUUGCUUUACAAAAAUAUGUAUUAAACUUCUGUGUUUGUAACCAGACCAGGUAUCCAUGGCUGAAGGAACUGAUGGUGGAGCCGUGCUGAAAGAGCGGAUGGAGGAGCCGUGCUGACGGCCCUGCCUGGUGGAGGAGCCGUGCUGACGGCCCUGCCUGGUGGAGGAGCCGUGCUGACGGCCCUGCCUGGUGGAGGAGCCGUGCUGACGGCCCUGCCUGGUGGAGGAUGUCUGUCGUGGGGUAGAUGGAGCCUGACUCUGUGACAUCACACUCACUGCCACUUCUCGUAGAAUACUGCUACCACAAACCACCGGCGUUUGUAACAAUAUACCAGACGACUACAUCUGUUUUACCACAUGUUGAAGCAAGACUUCUGCUGUUUGUUCCAGACCAGGACUCUGUCUGAGGAGAGCAGAUGGAGGAGCUGAGAUGCUGGAGGACAACUAGGAAUCGACCAACAAGGAUUCUUCAACGUGUUUCUGGAGCGGAGGCCAGCUGGUAGGGGAGCCGUGAAUCUGGAGGAUGACCAUCACUCUACCAACAAGGAUUACUUUAGGGCCAGACUCGCGCUGUUUGUUCCAGACCAGGACUCUGGCUGAGGAGAGCUGAUGGAGGAGCCAAGACUCUGUAGGACGACAUCACUCCACCAACCAGGAUCCUCAGACAAAUUACGUUUGUAACCAGACCAGGAGUCUGGAGGACUGACGGAGAAGCUGUACAUCUGGAAGGCAAAUCCUGAGGACGAUCAGGACUCUACCAUCAAGGAUUCCUUACACACAUGAGCUGAACCUCACCUGAUCCUGUUUGGUCGGGGGCAGACGCACCUGAGCUGAACCCCACCUGAUCCGGACAUCCUGCUGGUCCCGUCUCCUCAGUUCAUCUGAGCCUCUUCCUCCAGAAGACAUGCUGAGCUCGGCGGUCUGAGGCUGAUGUAUCAAUGACCUCCAGUGGGAGUGAUCUUCUUGACCCCACAUGUAGCCGUGUGCUUCCACACGCCUUUCCCUCACGUCUGUCACUAACCUCAUUACUUCACUACUCUCUACUCCUUCUCCUUCUUCUUCCUUCUCCGUGGUUCGAACCUUUACUCUGAAGGAGAAUCUCCUUGAACCUUUACACUGAAGGAGCGUCUUCCUGUCCUCAGAGGGUUCAGCGUUAGGGUUGAGAGUCAGGGUUUAGAGUCAGGGACAGAGCUGGUCAGGGAGGGCUGGUUUUACAUAAACCUUUUCACUUGCUUUCUGAAUGGUGGUGACAUUUUGAAAAGAUUAAUUUGGGAAAAUGUUUUCCUCUUUUUUUGCUUUACAAAAAUAUGUAUUAAACUUCUGUGUUUGUAACCAGACCAGGUAUCCAUGGCUGAAGGAACUGAUGGUGGAGCCGUGCUGAAAGAGCGGAUGGAGGAGCCGUGCUGACGGCCCUGCCUGGUGGAGGAGCCGUGCUGACGGCCCUGCCUGGUGGAGGAGCCGUGCUGACGGCCCUGCCUGGUGGAGGAGCCGUGCUGACGGCCCUGCCUGGUGGAGGAUGUCUGUCGUGGGGUAGAUGGAGCCUGACUCUGUGACAUCACACUCACUGCCACUUCUCGUAGAAUACUGCUACCACAAACCACCGGCGUUUGUAACAAUAUACCAGACGACUACAUCUGUUUUACCACAUGUUGAAGCAAGACUUCUGCUGUUUGUUCCAGACCAGGACUCUGUCUGAGGAGAGCAGAUGGAGGAGCUGAGAUGCUGGAGGACAACUAGGAAUCGACCAACAAGGAUUCUUCAACGUGUUUCUGGAGCGGAGGCCAGCUGGUAGGGGAGCCGUGAAUCUGGAGGAUGACCAUCACUCUACCAACAAGGAUUACUUUAGGGCCAGACUCGCGCUGUUUGUUCCAGACCAGGACUCUGGCUGAGGAGAGCUGAUGGAGGAGCCAAGACUCUGUAGGACGACAUCACUCCACCAACCAGGAUCCUCACCAGGAGUCUGGAGGACUGACGGAGAAGCUGUACAUCUGGAAGGCAAAUCCUGAGGACGAUCAGGACUCUACCAUCAAGGAUUCCUUACACACAUGAGCUGAACCUCACCUGAUCCUGUUUGGUCGGGGGCAGACGCACCUGAGCUGAACCCCACCUGAUCCGGACAUCCUGCUGGUCCCGUCUCCUCAGUUCAUCUGAGCCUCUUCCUCCAGAAGACAUGCUGAGCUCGGCGGUCUGAGGCUGAUGUAUCAAUGACCUCCAGUGGGAGUGAUCUUCUUGACCCCACAUGUAGCCGUGUGCUUCCACACGCCUUUCCCUCACGUCUGUCACUAACCUCAUUACUUCACUACUCUCUACUCCUUCUCCUUCUUCUUCCUUCUCCGUGGUUCGAACCUUUACUCUGAAGGAGUGUCUCCUUGAACCUUUACACUGAAGGAGCGUCUUUCUGUCCUCGGAGGGUUCAGCGUUAGGGUUGAGAGUCAGGGUUUAGAGUCAGGGACAGAGCUGGUCAGGGAGGGCUGGUUUUACAUAAACCUUUUCACUUGCUUUCUGAAUGGUGGUGACAUUUUGAAAAAAUUAAUUUGGGAAAAUGUUUUCCUCUUUUUUUGCUUUACAAAAAUAUGUAUUAAACUUCUGUGUUUGUAACCAGACCAGGUAUCCAUGGCUGAAGGAGCUGAUGGUGGAGCCGUGCUGAAAGAGCGGAUGGAGGAGCCGUGCUGACGGCCCUGCCUGGUGGAGGAGCCGUGCUGACGGCCCUGCCUGGUGGAGGAGCCGUGCUGACGGCCCUGCCUGGUGGAGGAGCCGUGCUGACGGCCCUGCCUGGUGGAGGAUGUCUGUCGUGGGGUAGAUGGAGCCUGACUCUGUGACAUCACACUCACUGCCACUUCUCGUAGAAUACUGCUACCACAAACCACCGGCGUUUGUAACAAUAUACCAGACGACUACAUCUGUUUUACCACAUGUUGAAGCAAGACUUCUGCUGUUUGUUCCAGACCAGGACUCUGUCUGAGGAGAGCAGAUGGAGGAGCUGAGAUGCUGGAGGACAACUAGGAAUCGACCAACAAGGAUUCUUCAACGUGUUUCUGGAGCGGAGGCCAGCUGGUAGGGGAGCCGUGAAUCUGGAGGAUGACCAUCACUCUACCAACAAGGAUUACUUUAGGGCCAGACUCGCGCUGUUUGUUCCAGACCAGGACUCUGGCUGAGGAGAGCUGAUGGAGGAGCCAAGACUCUGUAGGACGACAUCACUCCACCAACCAGGAUCCUCACCAGGAAUCUGGAGGACUGACGGAGAAGCUGUACAUCUGGAAGGCAAAUCCUGAGGACGAUCAGGACUCUACCAUCGAGGAUUCCUCACACACAUGAGCUGAACCUCACCUGAUCCUGUUUGGUCGGGGGGCAGACGCACCUGAGCUGAACCCCACCUGAUCCGGACAUCCUGCUGGUCCCGUCUCCUCAGUUCAUCUGAGCCUCUUCCUCCAGAAGACAUGCUGAGCUCGGCGGUCUGAGGCUGAUGUAUCAAUGACCUCCAGUGGGAGUGAUCUUCUUGACCCCACAUGUAGCCGUGUGCUUCCACACGCCUUUCCCUCACGUCUGUCACUAACCUCAUUACUUCACUACUCUCUACUCCUUCUCCUUCUUCUUCCUUCUCCGUGGUUCGAACCUUUACUCUGAAGGAGUGUCUCCUUGAACCUUUACACUGAAGGAGCGUCUUCCUGUCCUCAGAGGGUUCAGCGUUAGGGUUGAGAGUCAGGGUUUAGAGUCAGGGACAGAGCUGGUCAGGGAGGGCUGGUUUUACAUAAACCUUUUCACUUGCAUUCUGAAUGGUGGUGACAAUUUGAAAAGAUUAAUUUGGGAAAAUGUUUUCCUCUUUUUUUGCUUUACAAAAAUAUGUAUUAAACUUCUGUGUUUGUAACCAGACCAGGUAUCCAUGGCUGAAGGAGCUGAUGGUGGAGCCGUGCUGAAAGAGCGGAUGGAGGAGCCGGGCUGACGGCCCUGCCUGGUGGAGGAGCCGUGCUGACGGCCCUGCCUGGUGGAGGAGCCGUGCUGACGGCCCUGCCUGGUGGAGGAGCCGUGCUGACGGCCCUGCCUGGUGGAGGAUGUCUGUCACCAGGACUCUGGCUGAGGAGAGCUGAUGGAGGAGCCAAGACUCUGUAGGACGACAUCACUCCACCAACCAGGAUCCUCACCAGGAGUCUGGAGGACUGACGGAGAAGCUGUACAUCUGGAAGGCAAAUCCUGAGGACGAUCAGGACUCUACCAUCAAGGAUUCCUCACACACAUGAGCUGAACCUCACCUGAUCCUGUUUGGUCGGGGGCAGACGCACCUGAGCUGAACCCCACCUGAUCCGGACAUCCUGCUGGUCCCGUCUCCUCAGUUCAUCUGAGCCUCUUCCUCCAGAAGACAUGCUGAGCUCGGCGGUCUGAGGCUGAUGUAUCAAUGACCUCCAGUGGGAGUGAUCUUCUUGACCCCACAUGUAGCCGUGUGCUUCCACACGCCUUUCCCUCACGUCUGUCACUAACCUCAUUACUUCACUCUCUACUCCUUCUCCUUCUUCUUCCUUCUCCGUGGUUCGAACCUUUACUCUGAAGGAGUGUCUCCUUGAACCUUUACACUGAAGGAGCGUCUUCCUGUCCUCAGAGGGUUCAGCGUUAGGGUUGAGAGUCAGGGUUUAGAGUCAGGGACAGAGCUGGUCAGGGAGGGCUGGUUUUACAUAAACCUUUUCACUUGCAUUCUGAAUGGUGGUGACAAUUUGAAAAGAUUAAUUUGGGAAAAUGUUUUCCUCUUUUUUUGCUUUACAAAAAUAUGUAUUAAACUUCUGUGUUUGUAACCAGACCAGGUAUCCAUGGCUGAAGGAGCUGAUGGUGGAGCCGUGCUGAAAGAGCGGAUGGAGGAGCCGGGCUGACGGCCCUGCCUGGUGGAGGAGCCGUGCUGACGGCCCUGCCUGGUGGAGGAGCCGUGCUGACGGCCCUGCCUGGUGGAGGAUGUCUGUCGUGGACCAGGACUCUGGCUGAGGAGAGCUGAUGGAGGAGCCAAGACUCUGUAGGACGGCAUCACUCCACCAACCAGGAUCCUCAGACGAAUUACGUUUGUAACCAGACCAGGAAUCUGGAGGACUGAUGGAGAAGCCGUACAUCUGGAAGGCAAAUCCUGAGGACCAGCAGGACUCUACCAUCAAGGAUUCCUCAUAAGUUUGCAUUAUCUGGACAAAGUGGCCUAGACACACCUGAGCUGAACCUCACCUGAUCCUGUUUGGUCGGGGGUAGACACACCUGAGCUAAACCCACCCUGAUCCUGACAUCCUGCUGGUCCAGUCUCCUCAGUUCUCCUGAGCCUCGUCCCAGGCUGAUGGAUCAAUGGCCUCCAGUGGGAGGGAUCUUCUUGACUCCACUUGUAACCGUGUGCUUCCACACGCCUUUCCCUCACAUCUGUCACUAACCUCACUACUUCACUACUCUCUACUGCUUCCUCUUUUCUUCCUUCUCUGUGGUUUAAACCUUUUAUACUGAAGGCGCGUCUUCCUGCCCUCAGAGGGUUUAGCGUUAGGGUUGAGAGUCAGGGUUUAGAGUCAGGGACAGAGCUGGUCAGGGAGGACUGCUUUUACACAAACCUCUUGACUUGCUUUCGGAAUGGUGGUGACAUUUUGAAAAGAUUCAUUUGGUAAAAUCUUUUCCUCUGCUUCCCUUUACAAAAUUGUAUCAAACUUCUGUCAAGUGUUUUUGUUUAAAUAUUAAAAUCCCACAUUGACUUCUACAUGUUUGGUGCGGUUCAUUUAUUUGUCCUUUUAACUUGGUUAAUGUCAAGCUAAACUCCUGCAAUACAUUGAUAUACAUGAUUGUUAUUCAACAAUGUUCACAUAAUCCAUUUUGUAAAAAUAGGAAACCCCAAUAUUACUACUAAAUUCAAGCCUAUUCAUGUAUUUAAAGGCCCACUAUGCAAGAUCGGGAAUUUCUUCGCUGUUUUCUUGGUUUGGCACGCACCUUUCUCUACACAGCGCCCCCUACAGCUUCGUAGUAGAUAUUUUACAACACUGUCGUAACAACUCGUUGACGACCCUUCCCCAUGCACUUCUACGCUAGCCAUGUGCAUUUGUUUUCAA